GAUGAACGCUGGCGGCGUGCCUAAUACAUGCAAGUCGAGCGGACGGACGCAAACCUUCCUUCGCUGAUGAUUGCCGCGCACGGGUGAGUAACACGUGGAAAACCUCCCUAUCAGACUGAUAUAACUUCGGAACACCGGCGCAAAUCUCAGAUAAUAUCUUCAACCGCAUGGUUCAAAAGAGAAAGACGGUCUUGCUGUCACCUCUCGAUCGAUCCGCGCUGCGUUAGCUAGUUGGUCAGGUAACGGUUUACCAAGGAAACGAUGCAUAGCCGAGCUGAGAGGGUGAUCGGCCACGCGGGAACGGAGACACGCUCCAGACUCCUACGAGAGGCAGCAGUAGGGAAUGUUGCGGAAAGGGCGAAAGCCGGACGGAGCAACGACGCGUGAGGGAGGAAGGUCUUCGGAGCGUUAACCGCUGUUAUGAGGUAAGAACAUAUGUGUAAGUAACUGGGGACAUCGUGACGGUACCUAAUCAGAAAGCCACGGCUAACUACGUG
Molecule: ribosomal RNA, 497 nt
Filed under: uncultured bacterium
Lineage: Bacteria
Description: partial 16S ribosomal RNA
Rfam family: Bacterial small subunit ribosomal RNA
Source: RNAcentral